RNAcentral lists this ribosomal RNA (514 nucleotides) under uncultured bacterium. RNAcentral describes it as "partial 16S ribosomal RNA". It matches the Rfam family "Bacterial small subunit ribosomal RNA", at positions 28 to 523 of the family's 1533-position model. The record is from RNAcentral.
GAUGAACGCUGGCGGCGUGCCUAAUACAUGCAAGUCGAGCGAACAGAUGAGAAGCUUGCUUCUCUGAUGUUAGCGGCGGACGGGUGAGUAACACGUGGGUAACCUACCUAUAAGACUGGGAUAACUCCGGGAAACCGGGGCUAAUACCGGACAAUAUUUUGAACCGCAUGGUUCAAUAGUGAAAGACGGUUUCGGCUGUCACUUAUAGAUGGACCCGCGCCGUAUUAGCUAGUUGGUAAGGUAACGGCUUACCAAGGCGACGAUACGUAGCCGACCUGGGAGGGUGAUCGGCCACACUGGAACUGAGACACGGUCCGGACUCCUACGGGAGGCAGCAGUAGGGAAUCCUCCGCAAUGGGCGAAAGCCUGACGGAGCAACGCCGCGUGAGUGAUGAAGGUCUUCGGAUCGUAAAACUCUGUUGUUAGGGAAGAACAAAUUUGUUAGUAACUGAACAAGUCUUGACGGUACCUAACCAGAAAGCCACGGCUAACUACGUGCCAGCCGCCGCGGUAA